CACCCGAGACUCAGUGAAAUUGAACUCGCUGUGAAGAUGCAGUGUACCCGCGGCAAGACGGAAAGACCCCGUGAACCUUUACUAUAGCUUGACACUGAACAUUGAGCCUUGAUGUGUAGGAUAGGUGGGAGGCUUUGAAGUGUGGACGCCAGUCUGCAUGGAGCCGACCUUGAAAUACCACCCUUUAAUGUUUGAUGUUCUAACGUGGGCCCCUUACCGGGGUUGCGGACAGUGUCUGGUGGGUAGUUUGACUGGGGCGGUCUCCUCCUAAAGAGUAACGGAGGAGCACGAAGGUUGGCUAAUCCUGGUCGGACAUCAGGAGGUUAGUGCAAUGGCAUAAGCCAGCUUGACUGCGAGCGUGACGGCGCGAGCAGGUGCGAAAGCAGGUCAUAGUGAUCCGGUGGUUCUGAAUGGAAGGGCCAUCGCUCAACGGAUAAAAGGUACUCCGGGGAUAACAGGCUGAUACCGCCCAAGAGUUCAUAUCGACGGCGGUGUUUGGCACCUCGAUGUCGGCUCAUCACAUCCUGGGGCUGAAGUAGGUCCCAAGGGUAUGGCUGUUCGCCAUUUAAAGUGGUACGCGAGCUGGGUUUAGAACGUCGUGAGACAGUUCGGUCCCUAUCUGCCGUGGGCGCUGGAGAACUGAGGGGGGCUGCUCCUAGUACGAGAGGACCGGAGUGGACGCAUCACUGGUGUUCGGGUUGUCAUGCCAAUGGCACUGCCCGGUAGCUAAAUGCGGAAGAGAUAAGUGCUGAAAGCAUCUAAGCACGAAACUUGCCCCGAGAUGAGUUCUCCCUGACUCCUUGAGAGUCCUGAAGGAACGUUGAAGACGACGACGUUGAUAGGCCGGGUGUGUAAGCGCAGCGAUGCGUUGAGCUAACCGGUACUAAUGAACCGUGAGGCUUAACCUUACAACGCCGAAG
Molecule: ribosomal RNA, 920 nt
Filed under: Escherichia coli
Lineage: Bacteria; Pseudomonadati; Pseudomonadota; Gammaproteobacteria; Enterobacterales; Enterobacteriaceae
Description: partial 23S ribosomal RNA
Rfam family: Bacterial large subunit ribosomal RNA
Source: RNAcentral